GAUGAACGCUGGCGGCGUGCUUAACACAUGCAAGUCGAACGAAGCACUUUAUUUGAUUUCCUUCGGGACUGAUUAUUUUGUGACUGAGUGGCGGACGGGUGAGUAACGCGUGGGUAACCUGCCUUGUACAGGGGGAUAACAGUUGGAAACGGCUGCUAAUACCGCAUAAGCGCACGGCAUCGCAUGAUGCAUUGUGAAAAACUCCGGUGGUAUAAGAUGGACCCGCGUUGGAUUAGCUAGUUGGUGAGGUAACGGCCCACCAAGGCGACGAUCCAUAGCCGACCUGAGAGGGUGACCGGCCACAGUGGGACUGAGACACGGCCCAAACUCCUACGGGAGGCAGCAGUGGGGAAUAUUGCACAAUGGGCGAAAGCCUGAUGCAGCGACGCCGCGUGAGCGAAGAAGUAUUUCGGUAUGUAAAGCUCUAUCAGCAGGGAAGAUAAUGACGGUACCUGACUAAGAAGCACCGGCUAAAUACGUG
Molecule: ribosomal RNA, 481 nt
Filed under: uncultured bacterium
Lineage: Bacteria
Description: partial 16S ribosomal RNA
Rfam family: Bacterial small subunit ribosomal RNA
Source: RNAcentral